Molecule: ribosomal RNA, 262 nt
Filed under: uncultured bacterium
Lineage: Bacteria
Description: partial 16S ribosomal RNA
Rfam family: Bacterial small subunit ribosomal RNA
Source: RNAcentral
GUCCACGCCGUAAACGUUGGGAACUAGGUGUGGGCGACAUUCCACGUUGUCCGCGCCGCAGCUAACGCAUUAAGUUCCCCGCCUGGGGAGUACGGCCGCAAGGCUAAAACUCAAAGGAAUUGACGGGGGCCCGCACAAGAGGCGGAGCAUGUGGCUUAAUUCGACGCAACGCGAAGAACCUUACCAAGGCUUGACAUAUGCCGGACAGCCUCAGAGAUGGGGUUUCCUUAGGGUCGGUGUACAGGUGGUGCAUGGCUGUCGU